RNAcentral lists this ribosomal RNA (9247 nucleotides) under Triticum aestivum (bread wheat). RNAcentral describes it as "partial small subunit ribosomal RNA". The record is from RNAcentral. Lineage: Eukaryota; Viridiplantae; Streptophyta; Magnoliopsida; Poales; Poaceae.
CGACCACACGUCGCACCCCCAUCUGGAUCCGCCGCCUCCCCACCACCGGCCGACCACGCCUCGCACCCCCAUCUGGAUCCGCCGCCUCCCCACCACCGGCCCGCAUCGUCCGUCGUGCCCUCCUCCCCGUGUCGUCCGAGUCCUCCGCGUGCAGCUUGCCGACGCCGAGGCCUAGGCCGCCGCGCUCCGGGAUCGCGCCGGCCGUCUCGAGCGCGUGCCGCCGACUGCGACGGGCUGCUCGGCACACUCCGCGCCGCCAUGGGCAACAGGUGGUAGGACGAGGAGAGGGUGGUGGAGACAGCGGAGGAGCUGGCAGGAGGAGGAGGAGAGGAAGGUGGAGGCGGCAGAGGAGCCAGUAGGAGUAGGAGAGGGAGGUGGAGGCGGCAGAGGAGGGGACGGGGAUGACGGGGACAGAUCGGUCUACACGCCGGAGGACGAGGGCAUCACACCGCCUACCGAUUCCUUCUUCCUCACGUCCCGGUUUCAUGGCCAUCGCUGCGGUCGCCCAACAUCGACCACCUUGCCCCGAUUAGCUCUUGGAUACGCGGACGACCGGAUGUGCUCCAGCGCGGUCGCCUAUGGGCUGCUCCCACGAUGAAUCGACAACUAAGCUCGGGGACGUGAUAUGGUGCUCGGUGUAGGUGGCCAUGGUGGACCUGAAAGCUGGCUUAGAUAAGCGAUGGGAUCGAGUGGCGGCGCUCCCGAUCCGAUCGGGAGCAGGACGACGGCGGCGAGCACAUGGCGGGCGAGAGGAGCAGGAGGGGAGGCACGAAGGCGGGGCCAUAUGCGUCGGACGCGCGCGUUCGCCCGCAGUCAACGCGGACACAACGGCCGUCCAUGGCGGCUCGGGUCGAUGUAGGAGGACGAGGGGAGGAGCUCGCGAGGCCCGGCACCGGUAAUGGAGCGGAGGCGGCUGGAUCUAGCGAUUCUGGAGGGGCUGGUGACGAGCGGCUCCAUGGGCGGCGACCUGCGGGGUUCAAGCAGCGGCUGCCAUGAAGGUUUGUCUGAUAUACUUCAUUUUAUGCAUGGGUUGAUCCCUCCCCUGGAUACUGUCAAGGUUUGCAUUUCAAUGGAGCAUUGCAUCAUUUUGCUUUAAUUAUUUAAACUGCCUAAAUGGUACAAGUUGAGUGUAGGUAUGAGCGAUCUGGUUUCCCCUUUUGUUGUUCUAUACGAGGAUGAUCCAGAUGCCUUUUGGUGUUUUGAGAUGCUACUUUGAAGGAUGCGUGAAAAUUUCCACCUCGAGGGACCGACAUGAGUUAUGAAGCGGUUGGAAGCAUUGUGGAAGAUCAUGGAAUUGACAGAUACGGAACUAAUAAACUGUCUGCAUACAUAUGCUGCGUGUUCACGCCCUCUGCUCAGACACCGUCAAGGCUCUCGACCUCAGUCAACAAUCUGCCGAAGAUAACGUGGCAGCCACCAACUUGUGGUUGCUCAGCGUGCGCUCCUUCCGGUUACACAGCGACCACGACAAGAUGACGGUUGUGGUCUUGGCAUUUAGGAUGGAGGCCUUCAACUGCAUUUUCUCAUGGACGAACUGACCAACGCAACAUUCCUUGCUUCAAUUUCUUUGUCGUAGAAGCUGAAAGUAUAUGGUCUGAUUUUAUAUUAUAGAGUGUGUGUAUGAGAACUGAUUCAGAGUAUGUUGGUCAUUUGCGUUCUCAAGCUUUUUGUUGUAUGAUUUCUAUGGGAGAGAAUGAUACACGAGCCAGUAAUAAUACAACUAAAGUUUGUGAACAUAUCAUUACAAAAUGGUUGGCUAGAUAAUGUACACAUUCUACUAUAUAUGAUCAUUUUCUUUGUAGCUAUACACUUAUUUAGAAUACUGUACAAUUUUAUCUAUAGAUCAUUUUGUUAGGAAUGAUAGUAAAAUGAGGAAUGUUUUUCUACUUGUUGAUCUUCUAUCCCCUAUCCACCCCGUUUCACUCAUGUUCCCACUUUCAAAGAACGGACGUGGAUCUGUGGGGUCUUGAACAUGUUUUGAUGUUCAUUGGGGGCAUUUGGAUUUUUUUUCUCCCGUUGCAACGCACGGGUUUUUUGCUAGUAUGCUGCCAAAGGCAAUGGAAAAAAAGCUAGCUAUGCUGAUAGCAAAACAAUUUGUGAACUCCCAACUCCUAUUGUUCCUCCUCCAUCCUAUCUUGACCAUCUUUCUUCUCGGAGGAAAUGCCACCGACAUUUCUGCUAUCUAAGCAAAACAGAUUAUGUAGCUGAUAAUUAAGGUACUACUUUUGAUCGUUUGCUUCAUCUUUGUUUUAAGGAGUUAUUACAAUUGUAUUAGGUAACAAUAUUUCCGCGCAAACAUACAUAACUGAUCUAGAGAUGCUCUUGUAGGUGCUUGUGAGUGGAGGAGGCGCUAUUGGUUUACAUUAUAUGGACCUGGAGCUUCUUCUGUUUGUUGGGCGCCGGCCUUCAUUCAGAAACACAUCAUGGAUGAAGGUUUUAAGGUACUUUUUCUUACAUAUGUAUGAUCGUUUCACUCGAGUUGUGUGUUUGUUAUUGUGUUUUUCUGGUUGUCAUGGUAUUACUUACACAAAACUAUUCUGUAAAAUACAAGUUGUGAAUCUUAGCAUACACUAUAAAUGUUACAAUAAUGAUAUUUACAUAUCAGGGUAUGCAAGUCAUUACACAACUACUAAGAUCCAACCUAGCAUGCAUGCGCCAAUCAGGGAAAGUUAACUGGGCGCCAGACAAUAAAAUGCAUCACAAAGAUGCGAUGGAGAUUUUUUUUGAAAAACCCCUCCCAUAUAUUAAUUAAUUAAAAAUAUUCAUACAAUCAUCUGUUACAACUUUAGCCAUGCAGGGCGGAACAAUAUUUAUAAGAAAACCAUCUGACCUAUUAUCUAAACUGAACUUCGCAAUCUCAUGCGCCACUUUAUUGACCCUUCUGAUUAUCUUAGAUAUCUUGAGAUUAGCCAUCAUCUUGGAAAUACUCAGCACUUCCAUCUUAUGAUCAAUGAGGGAAGACCUGUCCAAAUAAUCAUUUCUAUGAAAAGACGCCACAGAAGAGCAAUCGGUUUCUAAAAUGAUGGGUUUAUGAAGGGUAAUACCGAUAUAAAGCCCUGCAAGUGUCACUCUCAGUUCCACUUCAUACAUGCUAUUGCAAACCCCAAUAUAGUCCCAAGAAGAAAUGAUGACUUCAACAGUAUGGUUCCUGUCAAACACUCCCACACUGGCAACACUAAUGGCCUUCACAAAACUUGCGUCAACAUUGAUCUUAAUGAAAUAUGGAUCGGGGGGUUGCCAAAUCACACAUUUUCCAUCCACAUCAUUGGUAUAGUUUACGCCAUCCACCUUCUCCUUACCUUUAAUGGUAAUCUCCACCUUCAUCUUGGUAUGACAUGACGAGAAGGAGUCCCAGUAGUUUUGAAUAAAACUCACAGCGGCAGAGAUAGUUUCUUUACCUUUACCAAAGAUCAAAUCAUUCCUCAAGUGCCAUGCCCUCCAAAACAUGAAUAUAAUUUGCUCAUGUACCAGCGACCUUAAUUGAUCCAGUAGGAUAAGUAACCAAUCUGGUCCAGAGAAGUUGAAAACCUCCUCAUCCGGUAGAUUCCACACUUCCCUUAAUGCCGUACGGAGUGUACAGGCCUUGGGACAGUUCACAAGGGCAUGAUAAACACAUUUAUCCUCCAGACCACAGAUCGAGCACAACCCAAUGGUAGUUUGGUGGUGUUUAACUCUAUUAAUUUUUUAUGCGAUGGAGAUUCUGUUUUAUCCGAUCUAGAAAAAACUGAUGCGUUCAGGAUUUAAGACUUUUAAUUGAUACCUUUUCUGUCAUAUGGUACAUAUAGUUAAUGUCACAUCCAAAAUUAAUCUUGAUACGAUGUUUCGUAUGGAAAUUCUAUUCUUCUAAUCUAUCGAACUUCCGUUCAACCAUUUUCAUGAGACUACAAAGGGAUUAUGUCCUCUGUAUAUGCAACUGGAACAAUGAAAUAAUUUUAGAGAUCUUUUAGUUACCUAGAUCUCCAACCCCUUUUCUCCUCUUCGGUAGUAGAACCACUUGCUCAGUUAGGGCUUUAAUGCUGUGUGUCGAUGGUGUAUAUGAUUUAGGUCAUGAGCAGUCAUGCCCAAUUUAGUUGUGCUAAUCAAAACUAACAAACAAUUAGCAGCAUGGAUGGUCCACUGAUCACUUCUAGCUUUGCCUACACGUUUUAAAUAAGUAUUAAGUAAUACUAGGCUGAAAAUGAUAUAUAUGUGAAUUAAACUCAGCUGAUUGUCAUAAGCAGGUGGUGACAUGUGAUUCACCCAAUGUCGAAAAGGCGGUAGAGAAUUUAAUCACUUUACUUGACCGCGUUGCAUAUAGUGCCAUCUAUUAUAAUGGAUGGCAUGGGUUGGGUGCUUCUGCUGUGCUUAGAGCUAUGGUCGAAGACCCUCCCCCAUCUUUAUGGAAGAAUUUUGACAAGAUCAUCCACAUCGAUUGCUCGUGGUGGAAAAGUCGAAGAGCACUACAAAGGAAAAUAGCUGAGCAAUUGAAGCUUCCUGGAAGUGUAAUUGCUAUUUUUGAUAAGCAAGAUGAAAAAGAUGAUUUGGAAGGGUUAGAUGAGGGAUCUCGAGCUGAGAUACAACAUGUUGUGCCAAUAAUCCAUCGGUCCCUACAAGACCAUAGAUGUUUAGUGGUAUUUUUGAAUGGGAGCCUCAACAGAGUUGACUUGAAUGAUUUCGGCAUUCCUCAAGCAGGGUUUGGCACUAGAAUAUUGUGGACUUUUAGGGGAAGGAUUCUGCUCAACUCAAUCAUAAAUGAAAAGAUGGACAAUUCAAAUUUUGUUGUCUUUGAGGAAGGUUUUCACAGUCGCAUGUUUUUUCUACAGGCAGAGGUUGGAGAAAUUGCUCAGUCUAUUGGAAAUCUUGUCGUCACCCCUGAAAUACCGGCAGAGUGUUGCAUGUACAUGUUGUCAUUAAUCUCUCAGAGUGGCGGCAUUAUUGACUUCAAGUGGACUACCCAUGCUAACAACUACUGGGUCUGCGAUGGUAUUGUACAAGGAGUUCAAGAUGAUGAAGCGUGGGAUAUUGGUACUGCUUUGUAUCAAUGGAUCGGAUUAGAGGACUACUCAUUUGAUACAUUGCCCCCUUUUGCUGAUAUUUUGGGCAGUGCUCAGAAACGCUGGAUAGCUGUUACCUCCACUAGUAAGGAAGAAACGAGAGAGAUCGAGGUAGUGAUUGUACCUCUAGAGUCAACAUCCUUUUUCCAUGCAGCCCAAAGGGAAUCCAAUCCUGCAUUAAAAACACUACCAGAUGGCAUGUUUCAUCAAUCGGACAAGCUUCGUGUGCUCAGAUUAUGCAACUGCUCCUUCAGUUUUUCUUCACCUCCUUUCCAGUGUUGUCGAAGCUUACGUUUCCUUGGAUUGGAUAGUUGCAAGGAUCAACAAAAGGAAGAAUCCAUGAAGCAAGGAAAACCAAAUAUGGAAUUUUUUCACAGCCUAUGGGUGAUAGAUAUAUAUGACACAACCUGGGAACUGGAUCUGUCACUAGAGACAAUAGACCAAAUGGCUGCAAACAUUAGGGAGGUACAUAUGAAGAAGGGAAGGAUUUGGUGCCAUAAUUUUUCAUGGCGACAACUACAGAACCUUCGCAAGCUUCGAAUAAUUGAACCAACAUGCUCUUGGGAGAUAAGUGAAAUGGAUGAAUUCACACACAUGGUGAAGUUGGAGCUCCUCGAUCUAACUGGGAAUAGUACAAUACAAGUUUUGCCAAGACUGUCAGAGGCAAUUGUUCUGAAGACUCUGAUUCUAGAUGGUUGUGUUCAGUUAGAGCAUGUUGGCCCUGACGGACUCCCUCGGUCAAUUGAAUCAUUCAGCUUAACUGCAAGUUCAAGUCAAAAAGCAAAAGUCUCCAAGAUCUCUUUAGCCGGUUGUGUGCAUUUGGAGAACUUCACAUUGUGUGGAGCAUUGCCGUGCCUUGAGGAGCUGGACCUAUCAGGCACCUCAAUCACGAAUCUUGACUUCAGCCAUGAGAUGGUGCAGGUGCCAAAACUAGAGCGACUCUUUCUAAUAGGCUGUGAGAACCUCCAUGCAAUACUAUGGAAGGGUGUCAAUAGAAGCUUGAAAAUACUACACAUUAGCAGUGAACGAAAGGACGCUAUAAGGCCACAUGAUUCUUCAUUCAUCCGUUCUGUAAACAGGAAAUAUGAUGGCGAAGUUUAUCUCAGAGAUGCAAGGCUCAUUCCAUCCUUGGUGCUCGGUUCGUGGGAAGUCAGUUCUAGGUUUUUGAUUACGGAUAGCCUAUACUUGAAUCUAGGUAAGUCUUUCGAGAUCAAAGCUGAAGGGAGAAGCGUUAAUACUUUGGGGAUUGAGACCUGCAAUGUCCAGGUAGUUUCGCCAGUCCGAAGCCCCUUCAGAUGCUGCUACCAUGACAUCGUACUCGAGAGAGUAGCUAAUGCUUACAAGGUCCCACGAAUUCUACCCCUACACCGCCACGUUGAGAUUGGUGAUGGAAUUAAUCUCACUAAUGCGGAGUCCGUUUGGGGACUUUUAGCUAUUCGUCAAUUGAUAUGGUGGGCUCAUUCCUUGCGUGUCCAUGACAAUUCAUCCAUCCUUGGUGUUACCCCCAAGCAAGAUUCUGUCCUUCCAGGUGGAAAACUUAUGUUUUAUUUGAGAUGGUGCCAUGUUGAGAGGUGUCCUAAGUUACAGAAAGUUUUCACCCCUUACACAAACAAGUGGUGUUAUUCCUUUGCUCAUAUGGAGACCAUUUGGGUGACCGAUCUCAGAGCAGCUGGCUGCAUUUGGAGCAAAGGAAUGAUUGGGGGCAUUUGAGGAAGAAUCUGUCUUUGGAGAACUACGGAGCAUACACUUGCACAACUGCCCAAGGCUCAAGUUUGUCCUCCCAAUCUCAUCAUUCAUUUUACCCAGCCUGGAGACCAUCCAAAUAGUCCAUUGUGGUAAUCUCAGGCAGGUCUUCCCACGGGAUGUGAAUUAUGAAGCUGGAAAAGAAGACACUGUGAAGAAUUUUCCAGAGCUAAAGCACAUCUACUUGCACCAACUCGACUGCCUGGAGCAAAUAUGCGAGGCCAAGAUGUUUGCUCCCAAGCUUGAGACGAUCAGGAUAAGGGGUUCUUGGGGCCUUAGACGCCUCCCGUCUGUCAGCCUUCGCCAUGGAGCCGGCCUUCCUGUUGUGGACUGUGAGAAGGACUUGUGGGACAAGCUAGAGUGGGACGGUCUGGAGGCCGGGCACCACCCGUCUCCAGGCAGUCGAGUUGGCUGUGCCAGGCCCAGGCACCAAAGCAACCUCUGUUUGGCACAAGUAAAAGUAUAAAAUAAGACGAGUUGAAGGAUCACACUCACGACAUCAAAGACCCAACCAAGUGCUGCCAGCCACUCGAACAAAUAUGUGCUGCCAACUAAUCGCCGGCGCAAAUAUUUAAGAGCAUAACACAGCCUUGGAGAGGAGAUACUUCACCAUGAUGCUAGAGUCUGUCAAUAACCUAUACGACUUCCUAGUCGUCAACAAUGCCACAGAAAGUUACCUCUUCUACUCGAUGAAGGAUGAUUCAGUAGUCCCGCUCUCGCGGUUAAUCAUGGACCUGACCGGACAGAUCAAGCUGUUGAUAUGGCAUGAUGAUUCCUACCUACAAUGGGUCAUAGUCUGGGCCCAGCCAUGGUCACCGUGCGACGUGUAUGCGCUCUGUGGGGCAUACGGCAGCUGCGACUCCAGUGGCCCGGUCGUACUGCAAGUGUGACAAGGGGUUCAGCCAGAAGGUUCAGAGUGACUGGGACCUCCAAGAUUACAGUGGUGGGUGCAAGAUCAACAAAGGAGGAAAACAAGGAUCAAUGGUUCAGUUGUUGGUGGAGUUACUGCAGUUUUGGUAAUUCUUUCGAUUAUGUUCUUCCUAUUUCAGAAGCACCGCCGAGACAGAACUCUUUGGAUAUCCGAGAAUGCUCGGGCUGCACCGACUGACUUCAAGUAUAAUGGUCUAUUGGAUGAUAUUCGAAGCAUCGAUUCACUUCUUCUCGAUCUAUCAACACUAAGAGUUGCAACAAAUAACUUCGGUGAAGGAAAUAUGCUUGGUAAAGGAGGUUUUGGGAUGGUUCAUAAGGGAGUCCUACCUGACGGUAAACAAAUAGCAGUAAAAAGACCAUGUCAGGGUUCCAGACAAGCAAUAGGGGAAAUGAAAAGUGAACUUGUCCUGGUCGCUAAGCUUCUUCACAGGAAUCUUGUGAGCCUCAUUGGUGUUUGUUUGGAAGAACAAGAUAAAAUACUUGUGUAUGAAUUUAUGCCCAACAGAAGCCUUGACACCAUUCUUUUUGAUUCUGAGAAACGCAAAGACCUAGAUUGGGGAAGGAAAUUCAAGAUUAUCAGUGGGAUUGCUAGGGGACUGCAGUAUCCUCAUGAAGAGUCCCAGUUGAAGAUAGUUCACCAUGACCUGAAAGCGAGCAAUAUUCUAUUGGACUUGGAUUACAACCCUUAGCGAAGAUAUUUGGAGGGGAUCAAUCAGAAGAUAUCACUAGGCGCAUCGCUGGGACAUACGGAUACAUGUCGCCUGAAUAUGCGAUGCAUUUCUCAAUACUCAGCAAAGUCGGACACAAUCAGCUUCGGUGUUUUGGUUUUGCAGAUCGUCACAGGAAGAAGAAACAAUGGCUCCUGCAACUCCGAGCAAUAUGUCUAUCUCGUAAAUCUUGUAAGUACUUAAGAACCAGUGUAUCCAGUGAUCCAGUCUGGACCAAGGGAAAUGUCAUCGAGUUGAUCGAUCCAUCCCUUAGUGUCCAUCCUUCUCACAUUGACCAGGUGCUGAAGUGCAUCCAAAUCGGGCUGCUGUGCGUGCAGAACAGACCUGAAGAUAGACCGAUGAUGUCGUCGGUGAAUGUCAUGCUUAGCAGCCAGAGUGUUUGCCUUCCUUCUGUUUCCAUGCCAGCCUUCUCUGAUGGAUUGCGUGGAUGUAGUGAUAAUGAUUCAAAAGUGGCGUCCUCAAAUGGAAUGACCAUCACAAAGCUCGAGCCAAGAUGAAACCAUUUUUCACCAGUGUCACAUUACUGUCUUUUUAGAGAUCAGUUUGAUCAAAUGUCUUUAUGUGCCUCCAAGGUUAUCUUCGGUGUCACUUUUGCUGUGAAGCAGGAUUACCGUAUUGCUGCUGGAAAAAAAUGUUAGCGGUAUUAUUAGCUGUGAUAUGUGGCUCAUACAAAUACAUGUAUCAAUAGUGAAUUCAGCAGCCUUUCCAUUUUGGCAAUCUUCUAAAAUUAGGUUUCGCUCUGUAAAAUUUCACUUGCAAUAAAUACAAGGUUUUCUAUGAUGCAGGCAGAGCACACCCAUUAUUUUGUAGGUG